This 468-nucleotide ribosomal RNA is filed under the name uncultured bacterium. RNAcentral's name for it is "partial 16S ribosomal RNA". It matches the Rfam family "Bacterial small subunit ribosomal RNA", at positions 28 to 507 of the family's 1533-position model. The record is from RNAcentral.
GACGAACGCUGGCGGCGUGCUUAACACAUGCAAGUCGAACGGAAAGGCCCUGCUUUUGUGGGGUGCUCGAGUGGCGAACGGGUGAGUAACACGUGAGUAACCUGCCCUUGACUUUGGGAUAACUUCAGGAAACUGGGGCUAAUACCGGAUAGGAGCUCCUGCUGCAUGGUGGGGGUUGGAAAGUUUCGGCGGUUGGGGAUGGACUCGCGGCUUAUCAGCUUGUUGGUGGGGUAGUGGCUUACCAAGGCUUUGACGGGUAGCCGGCCUGAGAGGGUGACCGGACACAUUGGGACGGGAAUGCGGCACAGACUCCUACGGGAGGCAGAGGUGGAGAAUAGUGCACUAGAGGCGGGAGCCUGAUGCAGCAACGCCGCGUGCGGUAUGACGGCCAGCGGGUAGGAAACCGCAGUCGCCUGUGACGAAACGUGAGUGACGGUAAUGGGUAAAGAAGCACCGGCUAACUACGUG